AACACGUGUUCUCUAACCAUAUACAACUUUCCUCCUAAACAUUUCAAAGAUUUUUUUAAGUUAGGUUUUUUCAAGGGCUGGAUGUGAUGGUACGCACCUGUCAUCUCAGUAACUGAGAGCUGGAGGGAGGAGCAUCAGGAGUUCGAAGCUAGCAUCAGCUACAUACUGAGUUUGAAGACAGCCCAGGCCACAUUACACCAUGUUGCAAGAAAGCAGAUGAGGGAAUUAAAUGGAUGAAUGAAUGAGCAAACCCAUUGGGUUUUUUUUUUUUUUAAUAGCUGCCACAACCAAGUAGUCCUUUUAAAGCACCAAGAGCCAAUUUGCCAGCCACCGAGCCUCCUCAUGGUCCCGGUGACUCCAACACUAACAUGGCCCCUCCCUCCUUUGGCUUUCAGCCCGAGACAGUGACGGAGCUGAGGAGGAUGUAGCUCUAACUGCACAUGGUACUCCCAUUCAGCUGCAGACUGUUGAUCCCAGCCAGGAGUAUCUCAUCCCACGAGCUACACUUAGCCCGCAGCAAGAUGCAGGAUUAUAGAGCUACCUGAAACAGAAUAAACACAACCUGGAAGACUGUGUCCUGACCGACACAACCCUAACAGGCCCAGGAGAAACUCACUGGACACACUGCCAAUGAAGUGUCCAUCCUGUCUGUCUCUCUGUUUCCUUGCCCUUCUGGACCCAUCUUCUGAAGUCAACCCUGUCCUGCACAAUUACAAUCUUGUUGCCACCCUA
Molecule: long non-coding RNA, 732 nt
Organism: Peromyscus leucopus (white-footed mouse)
Lineage: Eukaryota; Metazoa; Chordata; Mammalia; Rodentia; Cricetidae
Exons: 2
Source: RefSeq, a predicted model, not a curated record